UUAAGCGACUAAGCGUACACGGUGGAUGCCCUGGCAGUCAGAGGCGAUGAAGGACGUGCUAAUCUGCGAUAAGCGUCGGUAAGGUGAUAUGAACCGUUAUAACCGGCGAUUUCCGAAUGGGGAAACCCAGUGUGUUUCGACACACUAUCAUUAACUGAAUCCAUAGGUUAAUGAGGCGAACCGGGGGAACUGAAACAUCUAAGUACCCCGAGGAAAAGAAAUCAACCGAGAUUCCCCCAGUAGCGGCGAGCGAACGGGGAGGAGCCCAGAGUCUGAAUCAGUGUGUGUGUUAGUGGAAGCGUCUGGAAAGGCGCGCGAUACAGGGUGACAGCCCCGUACACAAAAAUGCACAUAUUGUGAGCUCGAUGAGUAGGGCGGGACACGUGGUAUCCUGUCUGAAUAUGGGGGGACCAUCCUCCAAGGCUAAAUACUCCUGACUGACCGAUAGUGAACCAGUACCGUGAGGGAAAGGCGAAAAGAACCCCGGCGAGGGGAGUGAAAAAGAACCUGAAACCGUGUACGUACAAGCAGUGGGAGCCUCUUUUAUGGGGUGACUGCGUACCUUUUGUAUAAUGGGUCAGCGACUUAUAUUCUGUAGCAAGGUUAACCGAAUAGGGGAGCCGAAGGGAAACCGAGUCUUAACUGGGCGUUAAGUUGCAGGGUAUAGACCCGAAACCCGGUGAUCUAGCCAUGGGCAGGUUGAAGGUUGGGUAACACUAACUGGAGGACCGAACCGACUAAUGUUGAAAAAUUAGCGGAUGACUUGUGGCUGGGGGUGAAAGGCCAAUCAAACCGGGAGAUAGCUGGUUCUCCCCGAAAGCUAUUUAGGUAGCGCCUCGUGAAUUCAUCUCCGGGGGUAGAGCACUGUUUCGGCAAGGGGGUCAUCCCGACUUACCAACCCGAUGCAAACUGCGAAUACCGGAGAAUGUUAUCACGGGAGACACACGGCGGGUGCUAACGUCCGUCGUGAAGAGGGAAACAACCCAGACCGCCAGCUAAGGUCCCAAAGUCAUGGUUAAGUGGGAAACGAUGUGGGAAGGCCCAGACAGCCAGGAUGUUGGCUUAGAAGCAGCCAUCAUUUAAAGAAAGCGUAAUAGCUCACUGGUCGAGUCGGCCUGCGCGGAAGAUGUAACGGGGCUAAACCAUGCACCGAAGCUGCGGCAGCGACGCUUAUGCGUUGUUGGGUAGGGGAGCGUUCUGUAAGCCUGUGAAGGUGUGCUGUGAGGCAUGCUGGAGGUAUCAGAAGUGCGAAUGCUGACAUAAGUAACGAUAAAGCGGGUGAAAAGCCCGCUCGCCGGAAGACCAAGGGUUCCUGUCCAACGUUAAUCGGGGCAGGGUGAGUCGACCCCUAAGGCGAGGCCGAAAGGCGUAGUCGAUGGGAAACAGGUUAAUAUUCCUGUACUUGGUGUUACUGCGAAGGGGGGACGGAGAAGGCUAUGUUGGCCGGGCGACGGUUGUCCCGGUUUAAGCGUGUAGGCUGGUUUUCCAGGCAAAUCCGGAAAAUCAAGGCUGAGGCGUGAUGACGAGGCACUACGGUGCUGAAGCAACAAAUGCCCUGCUUCCAGGAAAAGCCUCUAAGCAUCAGGUAACAUCAAAUCGUACCCCAAACCGACACAGGUGGUCAGGUAGAGAAUACCAAGGCGCUUGAGAGAACUCGGGUGAAGGAACUAGGCAAAAUGGUGCCGUAACUUCGGGAGAAGGCACGCUGAUAUGUAGGUGAAGUCCCUUGCGGAUGGAGCUGAAAUCAGUCGAAGAUACCAGCUGGCUGCAACUGUUUAUUAAAAACACAGCACUGUGCAAACACGAAAGUGGACGUAUACGGUGUGACGCCUGCCCGGUGCCGGAAGGUUAAUUGAUGGGGUCAGCGCAAGCGAAGCUCUUGAUCGAAGCCCCGGUAAACGGCGGCCGUAACUAUAACGGUCCUAAGGUAGCGAAAUUCCUUGUCGGGUAAGUUCCGACCUGCACGAAUGGCGUAAUGAUGGCCAGGCUGUCUCCACCCGAGACUCAGUGAAAUUGAACUCGCUGUGAAGAUGCAGUGUACCCGCGGCAAGACGGAAAGACCCCGUGAACCUUUACUAUAGCUUGACACUGAACAUUGAGCCUUGAUGUGUAGGAUAGGUGGGAGGCUUAGAAGUGUGGACGCCAGUCUGCAUGGAGCCGACCUUGAAAUACCACCCUUUAAUGUUUGAUGUUCUAACGUUGACCCGUAAUCCGGGUUGCGGACAGUGUCUGGUGGGUAGUUUGACUGGGGCGGUCUCCUCCUAAAGAGUAACGGAGGAGCACGAAGGUUGGCUAAUCCUGGUCGGACAUCAGGAGGUUAGUGCAAUGGCAUAAGCCAGCUUGACUGCGAGCGUGACGGCGCGAGCAGGUGCGAAAGCAGGUCAUAGUGAUCCGGUGGUUCUGAAUGGAAGGGCCAUCGCUCAACGGAUAAAAGGUACUCCGGGGAUAACAGGCUGAUACCGCCCAAGAGUUCAUAUCGACGGCGGUGUUUGGCACCUCGAUGUCGGCUCAUCACAUCCUGGGGCUGAAGUAGGUCCCAAGGGUAUGGCUGUUCGCCAUUUAAAGUGGUACGCGAGCUGGGUUUAGAACGUCGUGAGACAGUUCGGUCCCUAUCUGCCGUGGGCGCUGGAGAACUGAGGGGGGCUGCUCCUAGUACGAGAGGACCGGAGUGGACGCAUCACUGGUGUUCGGGUUGUCAUGCCAAUGGCACUGCCCGGUAGCUAAAUGCGGAAGAGAUAAGUGCUGAAAGCAUCUAAGCACGAAACUUGCCCCGAGAUGAGUUCUCCCUGACUCCUUGAGAGUCCUGAAGGAACGUUGAAGACGACGACGUUGAUAGGCCGGGUGUGUAAGCGCAGCGAUGCGUUGAGCUAACCGGUACUAAUGAACCGUGAGGCUUAACCUU
RNAcentral lists this ribosomal RNA (2902 nucleotides) under Escherichia coli. RNAcentral's name for it is "bacterial LSU rRNA". It matches the Rfam family "Bacterial large subunit ribosomal RNA". The record is from RNAcentral. Lineage: Bacteria; Pseudomonadati; Pseudomonadota; Gammaproteobacteria; Enterobacterales; Enterobacteriaceae.